GAGAAGGUGGAAGCUUGCUUUCACUGGAGACUGGCGAACGGGUGAGUAACGCGUAGAUAACCUGCCUUUAACUGGGGGAUAACACUGCGAAAGUGGUGCUAAUACCGCAUAAUGCAGCGGGGCCGCAUGGCCACAGUUGUUAAAGCCUUCGGGCGGUUAGAGAUGGGUCUGCGUGCUAUUAGUUAGUUGGUGAGGUAACGGCUCACCAAGGCGAUGAUAGCUAGGGGGUCUGAGAGGAUGAUCCCCCACACUGGGACUGAGACACGGCCCAGACCUCUACGGAGGGCAGCAGUGAGGAAUCUUGCGCAAUGGGCGAAAGCCUGACGCAGCCACGCCGCGUGUCGGAAGACGGCCCUAUGGGUUGUAAACGACUUUUAUCAGGGAAGAACGAGGGGGUUUAGAUCUCCUGUGACGGUACCUGAUGAAUAAGCACCGGCUAACUCCGUGCCAGCAGCCGCGGUAAUACGGAGGGUGCAAGCGUUGUCCGGAAUCAUUGGGUGUAAAGGGUGCGUAGGCGGGCGUCUAAGUCUGAGGUGAAAUCUUGCCGCUUAACGGUAAAAUGGCCUUGGAUACUGGGCGUCUUGAGUGUAGAAGAGGCAGGUGGAAUUCGUAGUGUAGCGGUGAAAUGCAUAGAUAUUACGAAGAACAUCAGUGGCGAAGGCGGCCUGCUGGUCUACAACUGACGCUGAGGCACGAAAGCGUGGGGAGCGAACAGGAUUAGAUACCCUGGUAGUCCAC
RNAcentral lists this ribosomal RNA (738 nucleotides) under Balneola sp. DG1524. Its description in RNAcentral is "bacterial SSU rRNA". It matches the Rfam family "Bacterial small subunit ribosomal RNA", at positions 66 to 798 of the family's 1533-position model. Lineage: Bacteria; Pseudomonadati; Balneolota; Balneolia; Balneolales; Balneolaceae. The record is from RNAcentral.